This 273-nucleotide ribosomal RNA is filed under the name uncultured bacterium. RNAcentral describes it as "partial 16S ribosomal RNA". It matches the Rfam family "Bacterial small subunit ribosomal RNA", at positions 524 to 796 of the family's 1533-position model. The record is from RNAcentral.
UACGUAGGGUGCGAGCGUUAAUCGGAAUUACUGGGCGUAAAGCGUGCGCAGGCGGUUGUGCAAGACAGAUGUGAAAUCCCCGGGCUUAACCUGGGAACUGCAUUUGUGACUGCACGGCUGGAGUGCGGCAGAGGGGGAUGGAAUUCCGCGUGUAGCAGUGAAAUGCGUAGAUAUGCGGAGGAACACCGAUGGCGAAGGCAGUCCCCUGGGCCUGUACUGACGCUCAUGCACGAAAGCGUGGGGAGCAAACAGGAUUAGAAACCCUUGUAGUCC